Molecule: ribosomal RNA, 468 nt
Filed under: uncultured bacterium
Lineage: Bacteria
Description: partial 16S ribosomal RNA
Rfam family: Bacterial small subunit ribosomal RNA
Source: RNAcentral
GACGAACGCUGGCGGCGUGCUUAACACAUGCAAGUCGAACGGAAAGGCCCUGCUUUUGUGGGGUGCUCGAGUGGCGAACGGGUGAGUAACACGUGAGUAACCUGCCCUUGACUUUGGGAUAACUUCGGGAAACUGGGGCUAAUACCGGAUAGGAGCUCCUGCUGCAUGGUGGGGGUUGGAAAGUUUCGGCGGUUGGGGAUGGACUCGCGGCUUAUCAGCUUGUUGGUGGGGUAGUGGCUUACCAAGGCUUUGACGGGUAGCCGGCCUGAGAGGGUGAGCGGCCACAUUGGGACUGAGAUACGGCGCAGACUCCUACGGGAGGCAGCAGUGGGGAAUAUUGCACAAUGGGCGGAAGCCUGAUGCAGCAACGCCGCGUGCGGGAUGACGGCCUUCGGGUUGUAAACCGCUUUCGCCUGUGACGAAGCGUGAGUGACGGUAAUGGGUAAAGAAGCACCGGCUAACUACGUG